Molecule: ribosomal RNA, 253 nt
Filed under: uncultured bacterium
Lineage: Bacteria
Description: partial 16S ribosomal RNA
Rfam family: Bacterial small subunit ribosomal RNA
Source: RNAcentral
UACGUAGGGUGCAAGCGUUAAUCGGAAUUACUGGGCGUAAAGCGUGCGCAGGCGGUUUUGUAAGACAGAGGUGAAAUCCCCGGGCUCAACCUGGGAAUUGCAUUUGUGACUGCACGGCUAGAGUGUGUCAGAGGGGGGUAGAAUUCCACGUGUAGCAGUGAAAUGCGUAGAGAUGUGGAGGAAUACCGAUGGCGAAGGCAGCCCCCUGGGUUAGUACUGACGCUCAUGCACGAAAGCGUGGGGAGCAAACAGG